This 325-nucleotide ribosomal RNA is filed under the name uncultured eukaryote. Its description in RNAcentral is "partial 18S ribosomal RNA". It matches the Rfam family "Eukaryotic small subunit ribosomal RNA", at positions 1470 to 1796 of the family's 1831-position model. The record is from RNAcentral.
CCCUUAGAUGUUCUGGGCUGCACGCGUGCUACACUGAUGCAUUCAGCAAGUAUACUUCUUUUGCCGAGAGGCCUGGGCAAUCUUGUAAACAUGCAUCGUGAUAGGGAUAGAUUUUUGCAAUUAUUAAUCUUUAACGAGGAAUUCCUAGUAAACGCAGAUCAUCAAUCUGCAUUGAUUACGUCCCUGCCCUUUGUACACACCGCCCGUCGCACCUACCGAUUGAAUGGUCCGGUGAAGCCUCGGGAUUAUGAACAAUGCCUUUGUUGGUAUUGUUUGUGAGAACUUGUCUAAACCUUAUCAUUUAGAGGAAGGUGAAGUCGUAACA